AGAGUUUGAUCAUGGCUCAGGAUGAACGUUGGCGGCGUGCCUAACACAUGCAAGUCGAGCGUGGCCUAGCUUGCUAGGUCUAGCGGCGGACGGCUGAGUAAUGCACAGGAACGUACCCGGAAGUGGGGGAUAGCCCAUCGAAAGAUGGGGUAAUACCGCAUGUGAUCGCAAGAUCAAAGCCGCAAGGCGCUACCGGAGCGGCCUGUGUCCUAUCAGGUAGUUGGUGGGGUAAUUGCCUACCAAGCCGAUGACGGGUAGCUGGUCUGAGAGGAUGAUCAGCCAGAUCGGGACUGAGACACGGCCCGAACUCCUACGGGAGGCAGCAGUUGGGAAUCUUGCGCAAUGGACGAAAGUCUGACGCAGCGACGCCGCGUGGAGGAUGAAGGCCUUCGGGUCGUAAACUCCUUUUGCUAGGGAGUACACACGAAAGUACCUAGCGAAUAAGCACCGGCUAACUCCGUGCCAGCAGCCGCGGUAAUACGGAGGGUGCAAACGUUAUCCGGAAUCACUGGGCGUAAAGCGCGUGUAGGUGGUUUGGUAAGUGAGCGAUUAAAGACUGGUGCUCAACGCCAGGAGUGUUGCUUAAACUACCAGACUUGAAGAUGGCAGGGGCAAGCGGAACUUUGAGUGUAGGAGUGAAAUCCGUAGAUAUUCAAAGGAACACCAAUGGCGAAGGCAGCUUGCUGGGCCUUUCUUGACACUGAGACGCGAAAGCGUGGGUAGCAAACGGGAUUAGAUACCCCAGUAGUCC
RNAcentral lists this ribosomal RNA (751 nucleotides) under uncultured bacterium. Its description in RNAcentral is "bacterial SSU rRNA". It matches the Rfam family "Bacterial small subunit ribosomal RNA", at positions 8 to 796 of the family's 1533-position model. The record is from RNAcentral.